UCGAUUAGCAUGCUAGUCGUACGAGUUCAGACUCGUGGCAUAAUAGCUCAGUAACACGUGGCCAAACUACCCUUCGGAACACAAUACCCUCGGGAAACUGAGGCUAAUAGUGUAUAUCACUCUCACGCUGGAAUGACUGGUAUGUCAAACGCUCCGGCGCCGAAGGAUGUGGCUGCGGCCGAUUAGGUAAACGGUGGGGUAAUGGCCCACCGUGCCAAUAAUUGGUACGGGUCAUGAAAGUGAAAACCCGGAAACGGAAUCUGAAACAAAAUUCCGGGCCCUACGGGGCGCAGCAGGCGCGAAACCUUUACACUGCACGACAGUGCGAUAGGGGGAUCCCAAGUGCAAGGGCAUAGCGCCCGUGCUUUUCGGUACCCUAAGGGGGUACCAGAAUAAGGGCUGGGCAAAACCGGUGCCAGCCGCCGCGGUAAUACCGGCAGCCCAAGUGAUGGCCGAUUUUAUUGGGCCUAAAGCGUCCGUAGCUGGCCGCGCAAGUCCAUCGGGAAAUCCACCUGCUCAACAGGUGGGCGCCCGGUAGAAACUGCGUGGCUUGGGACCGGAAGGCCCGACGGGUACGUCCGGGGUAGGAGUGAAAUCCCGUAAUCCUGGACGGACCGCCGAUGGCGAAAGCACGUCGCGAGGACGGAUCCGACAGUGAGGGACGAAAGCCAGGGUCUCGAACCGGAUUAGAUACCCGGGUAGUCCUGGCCGUAAACAAUGUCUGCUAGGUGUGGCUCCCACUACGAGUGGGUGCUGUGCCGUAGGGAAGCCGCUAAGCACACCGCCUGGGAAGUACGUCCGCAAGGAUAAAACUUAAAGGAAUUGGCGGGGGAGCACUACAACCGGAGGAGCCUGCGGUUUAAUUGGACUCAACGCCGGACAUCUCACCAGCAUCGACUGUAAUAAUGACGACCAGGUUGAUCACUUUGUCAGAGUUUCAGAGAGGAGGUGCAUGCCCCCCGUCAGUUUUUCCCGUGAGGUUUCCUUUUAAGUCAGGCAACGAGGGGGACCCGCACCCUUAUUUCCCAGCAGUCCCGCGAGGUAGUUGGGGACAUUAGGGGGACCGCCGUGGCUAACACGGAGGAAGGAACGGGCAACGGUAGGUCAGUAUGCCCCGAAUGGGCUGGGCAACACGCGGGUUACAAUGGUCGAGACAAAGGGUUCCAACUCCGAAAGGAGACGGUAAUUUCAGAAACUCGUUGGUAGUUGGGAUUGGGGGUUGCAACUCGCCCCCAUGAAGCGGGAUUCGUUAGUAUUGGCUGUUCAUAAGCGGGCGGUGAAUACUUCCUUGUUCUUUGCCCACACCGCCGGUCAAAGCACCGGAUUGGGGUCCGGAUGAGGCGUACCUCGUACGUCGAAUCUG
This 1363-nucleotide ribosomal RNA is filed under the name Halorubrum sp. halo-3. RNAcentral's name for it is "bacterial SSU rRNA". It matches the Rfam family "Archaeal small subunit ribosomal RNA". Lineage: Archaea; Methanobacteriati; Methanobacteriota; Halobacteria; Halobacteriales; Haloferacaceae. The record is from RNAcentral.